RNAcentral lists this ribosomal RNA (560 nucleotides) under uncultured bacterium. RNAcentral's name for it is "bacterial SSU rRNA". It matches the Rfam family "Bacterial small subunit ribosomal RNA", at positions 338 to 916 of the family's 1533-position model. The record is from RNAcentral.
CCUACGGGAGGCAGCAGUGGGGAAUAUUGGACAAUGGGCGCAAGCCUGAUCCAGCCAUGCCGCGUGAGUGAUGAAGGCCCUAGGGUUGUAAAGCUCUUUCACCGGAGAAGAUAAUGACGGUAUCCGGAGAAGAAGCCCCGGCUAACUUCGUGCCAGCAGCCGCGGUAAUACGAAGGGGGCUAGCGUUGUUCGGAAUUACUGGGCGUAAAGCGCACGUAGGCGGAUAUUUAAGUCAGGGGUGAAAUCCCAGAGCUCAACUCUGGAACUGCCUUUGAUACUGGGUAUCUCGAGUAUGGAAGAGGUGAGUGGAAUUCCGAGUGUAGAGGUGAAAUUCGUAGAUAUUCGGAGGAACACCAGUGGCGAAGGCGGCUCACUGGUCCAUUACUGACGCUGAGGUGCGAAAGCGUAGGGAGCAAACAGGAUUAGAUACCCUGGUAGUCCACGCCGUAAACGAUGAAUGUUAGCCGUCGGGUAGCAUGCUAUUCGGUGGCGCAGCUAACGCAUUAAACAUUCCGCCUGGGGAGUACGGUCGCAAGAUUAAAACUCAAAGGAAUUGACGG